This 475-nucleotide ribosomal RNA is filed under the name uncultured bacterium. RNAcentral's name for it is "bacterial SSU rRNA". It matches the Rfam family "Bacterial small subunit ribosomal RNA", at positions 26 to 518 of the family's 1533-position model. The record is from RNAcentral.
AGGACGAACGCUGGCGGCGUAGCCUAACACAUGCAAGUCGAGCGAGGAGAUCCUCGGGAUGAUCCUAGCGGCGGACGGGUGAGUAACACGUGGGCAACCUGCCUCAGUAGAGAGGAAUAGCCUUCCGAAAGGGAGAUUAAUACCUCAUAACAUUGCAGUUUCGCAUGAAACAGCAAUUAAGGAGCAAUCCGCUAUGAGAUGGGCCCGCGGCGCAUUAGCUAGUUGGUGAGGUAACGGCUCACCAAGGCGACGAUGCGUAGCCGACCUGAGAGGGUGAUCGGCCACAUUGGGACUGAGACACGGCCCAGACUCCUACGGGAGGCAGCAGUGGGGAAUAUUGCACAAUGGGGGAAACCCUGAUGCCAGCAACGCCGCGUGAGUGAUGACGGCCUUCGGGUUGUAAAGCUCUGUCUUCAGGGACGAUAAUGACGGUACCUGAGGAGGAAGCCACGGCUAACUACGUGCCAGCCGCCGC